GGAGGGAUCUCUGCCUCUGAAGCCUGGCCUCCACUCAUCAAAGGGAAAGAAAAGGUCACUGGCGUCUGGGGCUGCCUGGAACCUAGUGAACUGAGCCGGGAGGUCACCGAUUCACCCUCUGGCUGUAGAGACCCAUCUCAGGAGGUGAUUCAUAUCCUAAUGGAGGGGAGGAGGGGGCCAGAUAAUGAGCAGCUGUUUCCCCUGCUCUCCCGGUAGGGCCCUGCCUCCAGGCCAGGGGCAGGCAAUGGAAGGAAAUGAUCUGAGGGUUCAACGUGAGGCCUGAAUGGGGUGAAGCGGUUUGUGCCACAUGAAGGGAAACAGGGGUGCGGCUGGCUUGGGAGUUAUUAAGGUCGCACCUGGCCCAUUUUUCACAGAGCAUCUUCCUUCACUGGCUUCCCGAGCUGGUGCUCUGAGGGGUGAUAGGUGAGGUGAGGGGGCUGCAGGGCUGUUUCGUCUGGUCUUUGGAAGGGCAUGCCGCAGGCCCCGGAAAGGGUUCUUUCUGGAUGUGGAGGACGUAUGCUCAGGAGGUGUUUAAAGCAAACCAGAAAUGGUAUCGGUAGCCAACUUACUACGUUAUAAGCCUUGCCACAUGCUAACAACUCUCAGCCCUCACAACCCUCCGUGGUGAGUUGUCUCAUUAGCCUCAUCCUGCAAAUGGGGAAACUGAGCCGAGGGCAGGUUGCGCAACUUGCUAGAGGCCAUAUUAGUAUUAAGAACCAGGAUUUGAACCCGGGCUGUAGGUGCUGGUGCUGUCCCAGCACUGUACUGACACGGAAGUCAGUGGCGGGUUAGGUGAACCACAGGGGGAAGGCAGGGUAUGGCUUGGUCUGAGCUCUGGGAGGCAGAGUUGUGGGAGGUGGUUGGCUCAGGAGCGAGUUCAGGCCAGAACCAAGUACCUAAAGUUCAACUGUCUUGCAGACAGAGGCCAAGAGCCUCAGAGGCGGCACCGACUCAUUUUACGGAGUAUGGUCCUGGCGAUUUCUGCCAGUUGCCCCAGCUCCAUGCAUGAUAUUUGGGUGACGGAGAUGAGGCUACCUCCUGGUCCUGCCAUGGUCCCGUAUGCGUCAGAGGAUUCUGAUUCCCGGGAAAGAGGAAAACAGCUUUAGACACAGGCUUGGCACGGCGUGCGAUCCAGUUCCAAACCACAGUCACUGUGUGACUUUGGGUCAGCCUAGAUUUGAGUGGAGGAAACUGAGAGCACAACUCUCGAUGGGAGACUCAUCAGCGUCACAGCAUAAGGACACCUGGGAUGAGAGACCUUGUUGCGGCCAUCUUGGAAAAUACAAUCUACCACGCUGCCCAACCAGGAAGAAUUUCCAGAAGGAAGGCUGUGGCCUGACUGCCAGGGGUGAAGUUGCUAGUGCACAGAGAAGCACAAGUCCCUUGAGAAGAAGCUUUGGGUAUGAGCUGGGGGAGAGGGGUUCUGUCACUGCUAAGCUAGUUCUUGAAACUCUGGGAUUCCAAAAUUGGAUUAGAUUCUCAGAGGCGGGCAAUGGGGUAGAAAAAUGGAAAAAGGGGAGAACAGAGCCUGGCAUUAUGGGAACCUGUUAGGUUUAGGAAGUAGCAUUUAGUGUUUCUCUGGUGAUGUUCUGGUCUUCUUCCUUAAGCUUCCUUAAGCUUCCUUAGUCUCCUUAAGCUACUUGAGGAGGGCCCUGGGAACCCAGGGGAUGGAGAUACACUCGUGUCAGAGGUCAGUAGGCACCCUGGUGCCAGGUGAGUGUGGCUUCAGCCUUCUCCCGGCAUUCCUGUCCCACCCCCAAAGUAGAUGGCCAUUCCUAAGCCUCAGGAGGCAACAGGCUGGUCUCCUCUCCGAUAUGUAUGCUUGGGACAAGCCCACCUCCCGCAGAAAUAGAAAUCACCAUACAUGGCCACCAUCCCACCUAUUCCUAAAAGCCUAACAAGUAUGAGAGUGAGUUUGGAAUUAGUCUUACAGAAAUAAUUCUCCGGGUGGAAACAGAGUGAAAUCUAUGGAAAUAUACAUGAUCGCUCACCAUGAAAAAUAAAAGAGGGAGCUCUCCCUGCUCCACCCCCCUGUGAAUGAGGCAGAGAUUAAUCUUUUGAAAUCAAAUGUAUAAAUUAUACAUGGAUGGGAACUGGCUCAGGCAGGAGGUGUCUGAUAGGGUGCUGAUGGAAAUGAAAAUGAGGCUUGAAAGAUCAUUUCUGCUUUUGAAUCAGCUCCAGCAUUGCUGGUGCUCCUGGGCCCCCCCUGGAGGAAACACCCUGACUUAUCCAAUCAGAAAACAUCCCAUCCCCAAACCCUUGGAACACACACCUUCAAAGCAAUUGCUAAUGUUUUGGAUGAUAUUUCUGUGCGUCACCAGGAAUGAUAAAAAGGCAAUAAAAGUUUGAAGGCCCAUA
Molecule: long non-coding RNA, 2358 nt
Organism: Felis catus (domestic cat)
Lineage: Eukaryota; Metazoa; Chordata; Mammalia; Carnivora; Felidae
Exons: 2
Source: RefSeq, a predicted model, not a curated record